CGGGCGGCGGGGCCCGACUCACUCACUCGAUGAAGUAGCUGGCGCCCUCCUCCGUGAAGCCUUCCUCCCAGCCGCGGGGCAGGUCUGCGGGAACGCGAGAAAAGUCUGUGAAAGUCGCGCCGCCGCGGGCGCCCCUCCCCACCCACACCCCUCCCCGCCCCGUGGCGCUGGCGCCCACCUGAGCGAAUCAUGUGGCCCGAGUUGACGGGCUCACCCGUGCGCGGGUGCAGCCAGGUCGUGCGGCGCAGCUGGUCGCUGAGGAGAAAGGCGCACCUGUUAGCCAGCGCCGCCGCCGCGGGACGUCGCCCGGCCCCGCGCCCCCACCCCGGCCCCCGCCCCGGCCCCGACCCACGCCCAGUCCCCGCUCUCCCGCGCCGUACUUGAUGAAGAAGACGCGGCCGUCGCGGCACACCCCGUAGGACCAGUGCUCAGUACUGGGGAUCGAGCCCAAAGCCUUCCAACUGAGUAACUUCCCUCGGCCCUUUAUUUUUUAAAAUAAUGUCUGAGCUGAUGCAGGAGGAUUGUCAUGAGUUUGAGGCCAGCCUGGGCUACAAAGUGAAUUCAAGACCAGCCUGAACUACAUAGUGAGACCCUGUCUCAGCAACAAAAUUAUCCGGCUGGGGCUGGGGAUUUAGCUCAGCAGCAUAAGCACCUGCCCUGCAAGCAGGCAGUCGUGAGUUCGAUCCCUGGUACAGAUAAAAAAGAAAAAGACAAAUAAAUGAACAAAUAAAUAAAUAAAUAAAAUUAUCCGGUGUUAGGUGUUUAAUUCUGUUCUGCACCACUUGCCAGGCAUACAAGGCUCUGGUUUCAUCCCCAGUGCUACCAAGAAGAAAAAAAGAAGCAAAAUAAAUAAAAAAGAAGGGGAAGAGGAGGAAGAGGGAAAACUGGAAAAGGGAAGAAAACAGUAACAAUAUCAAAGAGUAGGGAACAUAAAAAGAACUGUAUCAGCAUUGCUAGUGAGAAUGUAAAAUAAUACAACCAUUCUAGAAAACAGUUUGGCAGUUUCUUUAAAAAGUAAAUAUUUACCAAAUGACCCAGCAGUUGCAUUCCUCUGAAUUUAUUCUAGAGAAAUGAAACAUUUCAUAAAAACUUGAACAUAAUCUUUCAUACCAGCUUUAUUUGUAACAGGUGAAAACUGGAAACAAAAUAUUCUACAGUGGAGAAUGGUUAAAUAAUUCUGGUCUUAGAAUUUUUUUUUCUUUCUUGAGGUACUGGAGACUGAAUCUAGAGACUUCACAUUGGGCUACAUCUCCAACCCUUUGUAUUUGUUGUUUUGAGACAGGGUCUCUCCCUCCAUUGCCAAGGGAAAGCUUAAAUUUCCAGUCCUCCUACCUCUGUCUCCUACAGUGCUGAAUUACAGGCAUAUGCCAUCACACAUGACUGGAAUACAACCUGACAACAAAAAAAUAGUAAACUGUUAAUACAUACAGCAACUUGGAUGAAUGUCAAGGCAUUAUACCAAGUUUAAAAGAAAAAAGAAAGCCAAUAUGCAAAGGUCACAGAACUUUCUCAAAACCCAGUACUGUCAUCAAUUGUUUAAAUUGUGACACAAGGUAAAGAAGUUUUUUUAAAUGACAAAAUCAAAUGCUAGUAAAUAAUGCAGAGACACCAUAAAAAUUAUAUAUUGAUGGUAGGGAUGUAAAAUGGUACGUCCACUCUCGAAACUGUUUGACAGUUUCUUAACUUUCAUAAAAAUAUUGUUAUCAGAGUACACAUUGAGCGCUGUGGUAGAACACUUGCCUACCAUGUGUAAGGGCUGAGGUUUGAUCCCCAGCACCAUCAAUAAAUAAAUAAGUAAUAGCAAUGGAGAAUUGAUCAGUGUUGUCAGGGUUUAGAGAAGGUAAUGUGGAAAGCGCAUGCAACUCCAAAGCAAUAGCAUGUGAGGGAAAUCUUUGUAAACCCAGGGGGUCCUGCUGUUGAGGGACAUCUCCAGCUCUUUCUAUUUUAUUUUAUUUAUUUUUUAUCGGUACCGGGGGUUGAACUCACAACCACCUGCUUGCAAAGCAGGUGCUUAUGCUGUUGACCUAAAUCCUCAGGCCCUUCUAUUUUUUCUUUUGAGACCGAUUCUUACUAAACUUCCCAGGCUGGGCUCAAAUUUGUGAUCCUCCUGCCUCAGGCUCCAGAGUAGGUGGGAUAACAGGCAUGCACCACUGUGCCCAGUAAUGUUCUGUGUUUAGAUUAUAAUUAUAGUUAUACAAAUUGGCACUCAUGAUAAAAUGACACAAGUAUAUUCCACACAAAUUGACACUUAGGAUAAAAUGACAUAGGGGUAUAAACAGACACAUACCAAUGUUAAUUUUCUGGUUUGGGUUUUAUGCUAGUUACAUAAAAUGUAACCACUGGAGGAAAAGAGUGAAGAGUAAACUAGCAUCUCUUUACUUUAAUCUUUGUAAACCCCUGCAAGUCUGUAUUUCAAAAUAAAAAGUUUUAAAAUGUGUUACAGAGUAACCAGAUGUUUCUUCAAAGAGUAUGUCUCCGACGUACAUAUUCUGUAACAAUGAAAUAGUAUUUUUGAAAGAUACCCUGCUGCAGAAAAAAAAAAAACAAUGAAAUAGUAUAGACAUUCCCUAAAAUUAAACAAUUGAGAAAGAAAAAGGACAGGUCAAGCACAUCUAUUAGUAACGUUAUUGUUUAAUAUUGUAUUAGAAGUUGCGUAAGGUAGUAAGUGCCUGUAAUACCAGCAAUCAGGAGGCUAGGGCAGGAGGAUUGCUGAGAGUUCAAGCCCAGCCUAGAAUAUAUGAUGAGAUCCUGUUUGGAAAACAGUUACACACAAUUAUAUAGUGUAUAACAUAUAUAUGUCAUAACACAUAGUAUAUAUGCUAUAUAUUACAUACUAUAUACAUAUAUAUGCUAUUACCAAUAAAAUGACUGGAAAUAGAAAUACAAGAUUUAACUAUUAGAAAAGAAAUAAAAUUAUUUCCAGACAAUAUGACAUAAUGCCAUAAAAUAUGAAGGACAGUCUCUACUCUUAUAAUUAAUAAAGAAUUCAGGAUCACGAUAAUAUAUCACAGAAUUAACGUUCUGUUUCCCCUUUAUAACAAUAGAAAAUACAUAAGUUUAGGAAUAACCCCAACAGAAUAUACUUACAUAAAGUUAUUUGGUAAAACCUACAAAACUCUACAGAGAGAUGGUGACUAACAACUUUGUUUCAUAUUUAAACAUGAAAAUAUAAAGGCAGCAGUAAAAACAAUACAUAUGGUCUAUAAUAUUUAGAAACUUAGCUGGGUAUGGUGGCACAUUCCUGAAAGGAGGUACCUAAAUGUUCAAGGCCAUCCUGGGCUCCUACUAACAUAGUCCAGUAAAUUCUUACCGGAAAUAUUUAUGUGAUACAUGCCUGUAAUCAUAGCACCUGGGAAGCUGAGAUAGGAUCAUCAGCAUGCCAUUCAAGGCGAGCAUCAGCUAUACAGUGAGUUCAAGGCCCGCUUGAACUAUAUAGUGGGACUCUGUUCAAAAAUAAAUACAUAAAUAAGUGUAUGUUGUAUAUUCUAGUUCUGCAUGCCCAAGACAUGAGUCAUUAGCCAAUGAAUUGUGGCCAGUCUGCACUGCCUGAAUUGUUGUUUUCUGCAUACAAGAUUUUGAAAACGUAGUAUGAAGUAAAAUGUGAAGUAUCUCUUUGAAAAUACGUUUACAUGUUGAAGUAAUAUUUUGGAUUAUUGGGUAUGAAUUUUAAAUGCGUGGUUAUUGCAAAUUUAAACUAACAUGUUGGCUCACUUUUGUAACUCAAAUUAUAUUUCUGUUAGACAACAAAGCACUAGCUUUUUCAUACCACUCUUUUGUAUAGCUAUAGACCUCACUGCCCAUUAGUAUUACCUGGGAGCUUUAAAAACAUUUUGACCACGUUCUAUCAUAAGUGAUACAUUUGGUGUUGGGUGACAACUUUUGUUAUUGAAGUCUCCCCAGAUGGCUCUAAAGUACACCCAUGGUUAGUAACCGCUGCUAUCAGCCUAAGCAGUCGGGCCUUAGAGAAUUGUUUUCCACAUUUUUCAUUCCAUAUAAUUAAGGAGAAAACUUCUGUAGGCUAAGAAGUAACAUUUAAAUCUGGGUUCAAAGAUGCCAUACCAUUGCCAUUCUGGAUUGAUGACUCCUGUACAAGAUGUGAAUUUUUCUCAGCUGAUUACCAGAGCUGAAAUUGGAAAGUUUUCCAGUUAAUGAAAACAAAGUAAUGAAUCUUUUUUUUUUUUUUUUUAGUUUUACACAAUCCUCCCUGAGUACACUUUAAUAAUAUUUGAACUAGUUCCAAGGGAUGGAGGUUAUGAUGGAUUUGAGAUGUAAAAAGUGUGUGCUUUCUUCUUCUUCUCCUUCUUCUCCUUCUCCUUCUCCUUCUCCUUCUCCUUCUCCUUCUCCUUCUUCUCCUUCUCCUUCUCCUUCUCCUUCUCCUUCUCCUUCUCCUUCUCCUUCUUCUUCUUCUUCUUCUUCUUCUUCUUCUUCUUCUUUUCUUCUUCUUUUUUGAUCAUCACAUCUUUAGGAGGUAAGCAGGGCAAGAGUUCUUGUCCCUCAUUUUUAAAGAAGAUACUGAAUGCCCCAGAGGAUGGUGGCUUGUCUAAGAUCAUGUAGCUAAUAAAAUAAAAUAAAAUACACUCACCUCUUGAAACCUGACCACAGCCCUUUUCCUACCUUAAUACCUUGGAAUGAAUCACCCACUAGGUAAACGGAGCUUUCUGUCCAGCUUUUCCUUUGAUGGGCACUAGCCAAGAACUUUCACACUAGAUGGUCCUACUGAUGCUUGUGGCACUAAUCCAUUAAUUUAAAUGCAAAAUAGUCCAUAAUCAGAGAUUAAUCUGAGAAGAUUAAUCAAAAUGCUUGCCAGCAACCAAGCGUGUGCACAACAAUUUUCAGCUUCCAGGUAAGCAGAAAUUCAUUACUGUCCUGUAAAAGCUCUCCUUUACUCUUCAGGAGACAAAGCAUGGGGUUUGGGGUCCAGUGGAUCUGGGAGUAGCCCAGGUACUGUCCCUCAGUAAGCUGAAUGACAUAGGCCAUGCCACUCCUAUUUACCCAGUACCUGCUGAUGGUAGACAGUACAAAAAUCCUAGUGAUCUGGUAGCCCACACGUCAUGGUUCCCAGCCUCAGAGGCUCUUAGUAUUUGGGAGAAAUGGGUGUUUUCAGUGCCAGAAGACAAGAACUGCUCUGGAGCUAGCAUGAGGAGGUCACUUCAGGAGCACAGAGAAGACCGCUGGGCAUGGUGCUCAGCAGUGCUGGUCUCUGCCUCCCUACAGCAGCCAUGGCUUGCAGGCGGCCUCAUGGGAGACAGGGCAGCAGGGCUUCCCAAUCUCUGUUGCUGUGCUGUUCCUCGUCCUUCCAAUAAGAUCAUCUAGUAUUUUUGUUUUGUUUUCAUUUGAAAACAUUUUCUUACCUGGCUGUGACAGAAGGAUCACCAUGAGUUUGAGGCCAGCCUGGGCUACAUAGUUAAGAGUAGCUUGGAUUACAUAACAAGACCCUGUCUAAAAAAGUUUUUUUUUCCUAAGAAUCUGUUUUGUGUCUGCCCCAUAGGUGAGUAUAAGGAAAGAAAGAAUGAGGAAAUAAGUGUAUGUCAGGGUUCUGCAGAGAAACAUAGCCAUUAAAGGUGGAUGGGAAGGGAGGCUGGUUUUUUUUUUUUUUUUUUUUUUUGGUCUUUUUUCCUUUUUAUUGGUACCGGGGAUCGAACUCAUGACUGCCUGCUUGCAAGGCAGGCGCUUAUGCCACUGAGCUAAAUCCCCAGCCCCUGAGAGGCUGUUUUAUAAGGAGCUGGUGUGUGUGAUUAUGGAGCUAAGAUUGACACUUAACAAGCUGAGGAUCCAGGAGUGGCAAUAUUCCAGAUCAAAAGCAACGGAAAACAACUCAUGCCCCAGCUUGCAGGCACUGGGGCAGGAGGAAUUCCCAUGUAUUUGGAGAGGGUCACUCUUUUCUAUUCAGCUCUCCUUCUGAUUAGAUGAGGACGGGAUUUACCUCAGCGCAUAAGCACCUGCCUUGCAAGCCAGCGGUGGUGAAUUUGAUCUCCAUCUCCGGUACUGAUAAAAAAAAAAAAGAAGAAGAAGAAAAGAAAUGUUUCCCUGAUUAGAUAAGGACCACCCACAAAAGAGAGCACAAUCUACUGAAAUGUUAAGUUCAUCCUCACCCUCAAGGAGCACCCAGCAUAGUAUUUGGUGAAGUAUGUAGGCACCCAUGGACCUAAACUUAAUUAAUUAAUUAAUCCUCAUAAUAAGCCAAAGCUUCUUCCUUAAAGAUCUCUGGCCUAGAGAAACUGUACAGAGCACUGUGCACUUCUCAAACCAGCAAGGGGUUUCCUGGGAAAAAGAAAGCCAUCUGUGAGCCUUCUCUCUUCUAAGUUAAAAUGAGAGCCAGGUGAGCGGCCUGCUAAUCGCCUCUUUCAGGAAGCUGAGGUGGGAAGGUUGCUGGAGCCCAGCUAGGCACCACAGCCAGACCCUGUCUCAAAAAAAUGAAAAGUGGCCAGCUAGGUUCACCUGUAAUCCCAGCACUUGGGGCCUGUGGCACGAUGACUGGAAGGUUUGAACCAGCCUGGGCAACUUAGUGACUUAGCAAGACCUUGUCCCAAAAAACAAAAGAAGGGGGCUGGGGACUUAGCUCAGCGGUAUAAGCACCUGCCUAGCAAGCUCAAGGUCAUGAGUUCGAUCCCUAGUGCCAAAAAAAAAAAAAAAAAGUAAAGUUAGUAAAAAUGAGGUGUAGUGACCAGCUGCAGCUCUGUAGAUAUUCCCAGGGUGAAGGAUAAUAAGAGGAUGAGAAAACAAAGAAAAAGGGGGAAACCUGAGGUCGGGAGGAGCCCUGUCUCCUGACAGAAGAAAAGGGACUGUUCAACCACUGUAGCAGGUCUAUUUAUUACUUAGAAGGAUGAGGCCAGUUGCAGCCCUGCUGCCCAGCAACUUGUUUGUCUGGCUGGCCUGGGCCCCUUGCCUUCUUGGAGCUGAAACAGCUUGUUUACAUGGCUUGUUUUGGGCUCUCUGUGUUUUCAGGGCUGGCCUUGCAUUAGCCCCACACAUGUGAUCAGUCUCCAGCUUCCACGGGUCCCUACAGAGAAUGUUGUGUAUUCUUACCUCAUCCUGCAGCGCCUCAAUUCCCAGCAUUUCAGCCUGUUCUUUUCCCUUUAAUUCACUCAGGAGUCCCUUUUGUCUCUCCCUGCCUCUCUCUCUGCCUCUCUGUCUCUGUGUCUUACUCAUCUUUAUUUGUCUCCCUUUAAUUUUAUUAUGCAAUCUUUGGGAGCCGCAGGCACAGUAAGUUUUAACCAUUUCACACAUCAGUUGUCCGUGUGCUGCCCUAACUGCACCCCAAAUGUUUCCUACAAACAACAUUCUCCUUUGUAAUCCCAGUACAUCAGAAGUCAAAAUUAAAAAUUAUAUCUCUUUAAUCUUCAGUCUGUGACAAUUCCCAAUGUCUUUCCUUGGCUUGUACUAUCCUGAUACCUCUGUAGCUCAUACUCCAGUUAUUUUGUAAAUGUCCUACAUGUGUGGUUUGUGUGAUGGUUCCUUGUGAUAGGAUUUAGCUUCUCCCUAUUUGGCAGAAAUAGCACCUAAGAGCUGCUGUGUUCUUCUGGUAUCUAUCGGUGACAAAUGACUGCAGUGUAGCACACAGUUAGUGAUGUUUGCUUUGAUCAUUUGAUUAAGGUAGUUUCAUUAGCCUUCUCUACUAAGAAGUAACUCCUUUUAUAUUUGGGAAAUAUAUAUAAAAGUGUACUUUGAAAAAGUAGACAAUCCAUUUCUUAUCACCUAGUCAAUGAUUCAUUUAUUCAGAUCUGUAUAUACUAAUGUAUUACUAUUAUCAUUUAUUUUGCUGCACAAAUCAUACCAGAUUUGGCCAAUGUAAGUCCUACAUGCUGUCUUCAGUGUCCUUUUGACAGUGUCCCUGUCAUUCUUUGAGUACUUCCACAUUUAGAAUAAGAUGUUCUAAGCUACUUGGGCAUGGUGGGACAUGCCUGCAGUCACAGGCACCUGGAAGGCUGAAGCAGGAGUAUUGCUUCAGCCCAUGAAUUCAGGGCCAACCUGGGCAAUGUAGCAAUUCACUGUGUCUUAAAAAAUAAAUAAAUAAAGGCUCACUUUACAUCAUUUUUCUGAUCCAUCUGAUACAUCUGUUUUUCCAGGGAACCUCUUUGGUUUUUUGUUUGUUUGUUUGUUUGUUUGUUUAUGGUUGUUGUACUGGGGAUUAGACUCAGUGAAUUCAAUAAACCAAAUUCCCAGCCCUUUUUGUUUUUGAGACAGAAUCUUACUAAGUUACUAAGUUGACCAAACUGAGCUCAAACUUGCUAUCCUCCUGCCUCAGCCUCCCAGAACGCCAAUAUUACAGGCGUGCAUCAGCUCUCCUUUUACUGCAAAAUAUUACUUAGGAAUCAAGAUUUCAGUGCUACGUGUACUCAUUGCUAUUAGCAUAUUGCCAUUCCCAGACAUUUAUGUCUGUAAUAAGUCCAUAUCUACAUGGAGAUCUGUAGGUGAGAAUAAUGAGUUCUUGUCAAUACCUCCAAUUCUAAUUCAACACCACAGGUAACUACAGUAACCCUUAUUUCAUCAUUGGCCCAAGCAAUCAGCCUGGGCCCAGGUCCCUGCCCACACAAUGCCCUCUCUGGCCCUGGCAUUGCCCCCCAGGCCCUCCAGACCUAGGUGCCUCGUCACUCAGCCCUGACUGCAGCACAGUGUCCACUUAUCACUGCCACCCACAUGUGCCCCUUCUCCACAUGGGCCACCCUUUUAACCGGGCACUCUUUUCUUCCCUCUUGAAUUCAAGAAUCCCACCCCCCCCAACUCUCAGUCAAAGAGGCCUCCUCCAUCACUGACUUCCCAACACACCCUGCCACGCGCCUGUCUUCCCAGAGGCCCUCAUACAUUUUGACAUGAUUGUUUUCAAGAGAGGAAGCAAACAGUUAAAGAGCCCUCAAAGCUGUUUGGCAGGCCCCCUACAGCCACUAAUGCCCCUUCUUCUUUGAUCAGUCUACCUCAGCCUCUUCCCAGACUUGCAGCGGAUGACCAGUGACACAUCCGACACAUCCUAGAGUCCUAAGAGCUGGCUGUCUAUGAAACUCUGCCGCACCACCCAGGGCCCAUUCAGAUUUGCUUUAUCAUGCCACUUUAGUCAGAUGUCCAGACCAAGCAGAGACACACACCUGGCCCCAGACCCUGGAGCACCCACCUAAUCAUCACAAGCCCUCAACUCCUGAUUACUGGCUUUCAGUCACUGCAGAGCACCUGGAAGGACAUCAUGUUAAAGGCCAAAAGCUCCAAAUCCUCUCAUACGCACGCUCCUGCUUUAGCAUCAGGUCUCCCACCUGAAGCCACUUGGACACCCACGCUGGUUCCAGCCACAUGGCUUACCAGCAGGAAGACAGUCUGGCAACUCUCCCUAGAUCUCAUCCUUGCAUAGAUCAUGGAGUGCUCAAAUGAACUAAGACAGUUUGUUUUGUUUUGGUUUGUUUUGUUUAGAUUAGGUUUUUUCUUUUCUUUUUUUGUACCAGGGAUCAAACUCAUGACCUUGUACUUUCCAAGCAGUCACUUAUGCUGCUGAGCUAAAUCCCCAGCCCUAGUUUUGUCUUUUGAGACAGGGUCUCACAAAGUAGUCCCAGCUGGCCUUGAACUUGCUAUGUAGCUAGACUGGCCUCAAACUCAAAGCGAUCCUCUUGGCUCAGCUUCCUGAGUGCUGGGAUUACAGGCGUGUGCCACACACCUGGUUUUAAACAACUUCAGGGUGACUAGGUGAUACCAUUUCAUGGGACCACCAUCAUAGUGCAAUACGUCAUUUGGUGAAAUGUGUGGUUCAUGAGUGAUCUUAAAAUGAAAAAAAUUCUGAGCACUCAGGAGUCUGAAGCAGGAGGCUUGCAAGUUUGAGGUUGGCCUAGGCUACACAGUGAGGUCAAGGUUCUCCUAACUACAUAACAAGAGCCUGUUUCAAAAAUAAAAAACCCAAAAAAACAAAAAUCCCCUCCAAACGCUGCCACAGUGUUUUGCUUGGUAUUUUCUGUUUGACCACUGGUCUAGUGUAGUCAGUCAGAGAAGCAAAGGCUCAGGAGUCACAUGUAGUCUAAUUCCUAGUCCCACAGGUUAUUAGCUACCCUGAACCUCUGUAAAAUGAAAGCACAGAUGUUUCACGAAGAGUUACUGUGAGGCUGGGGACAUAGAGUCCUUGCCAAAUUUGCCUCAAGCCCCUGGGUUCCAACCCCAAUGCCACAAAAGAACAAAAGGGAAGAGGGAGAGUUACUGAAAGGAUUCAAUGAUACAAUGUGUGUUUGAGCCCUCUGGACAGAACCUGCUUUAUCACCACUGCUGGUCACAUCAUGAGACACUGGCAGGGAAGGAAAGCCAGCACUCACACUCACACUAAAGCAGUAUCUCUGGAGCCUCAUAGACGAGUUCAAAAAUGAAGUAUUUAAUGAAAUAAAGCAAGAAAUAAUUAUAAUAGUUAGAUAAAUGCUAAGCACAACCCAAGAAAAAACAGAUGGUGGAAUGGAAGAACAGAAAAAAAGGGGAGAAUUGUUUGAUGGAGAAAAUAGAGAAAACAUAGAAUACAUGAAACAGGUUCAGAGAGAUUACCAGGAAACUAAAAACUCUAUUGAAAGCUAGCAUAACAGCUUGAAAGAAACUAAGGAUAGAUUAUCAGAACUGGAGGACAGAUUUGUAAGGUGGGAGCAUGAAAUGAAAAACUUCUUAAAAAUAACAAGAAAACAAACAGCAAUAAUACAAAGGCUAGAAGAUGAUAAGAGGAUCUAUAACUUAAGAAUUAAGAACAUAAAAGAAGAAGUAGGGACACAAACAAAUGAACUAAAAGGCUAUUCACAGAAAUAAUCCAGGAGAAUUUCCCUAAUUUAGCAAAAGGUAAAAAUACUCAGAUGUAUGAGGCAUACAAGACCCCAGCCACCUACAACCCAAACAGAGCUACACCCAGGCAUGUAAUAAUCAAAAUUCCACAAAUCCAAUAUAAGAACAGAAUACUAAAAGCCGUCAGAGACAAGAAACAGAUCACUUACAAGGGAACACCCAUCAGAAUUACAGCAGACUUCUCGGCACAAACUAUCAAAUCACGAAGAGCGUGGGGGGGGAAAUAAUUCAAGCUUUGAAAGAUAAUAACUUCCAGCCAAGAUUGAUAUAACUGCAUAUAUAUUUAAGUGUAUAAGAUAGAUAACCAUAUUACUGAGUUUUGGAUCAUUGAACAAAACUGUUUGCAGUCUCACUGUUUGAAAGUCCCCUCUAUAUGCUUUAAUUUUGUAACUUCAACAACUAUUUCUAAGAUGACAAUAUGUAACUAACUAGUGGUUUCCUACUAUUUAUUUUUUCUGAAAGUCAUAUAACUUGUACCCUUUUUCUGUUUUUUUUUCUUUUUUCUCCUUAAAUAAAAUUUAAAAAAAAAAACAGGAAAAAAAAAAAAAGAAAAUCAGUUAUCAAGUACCACACAAUGACUAGUCCUGGCAAGAAUCAUUAGUGAAUAUUAAAACCAUUUGGUUGGGUAAGAGAACAUGUACCUAGACUGUAGAUAUUGUUCCAUAUAAACUACAAAGGGAGAAAAUAUCUUUAUAAUGAAAAAAUCUGGAAUUCUCCAAAGAUAGGCAAACUUCCUUCUUCUUCCCCUUUUGUAUUCCACCCAAGCCACUAGCUUAUUGGUUGGUGCCACCCACAACCCAGGUAGGUCCCCUACACCCUCAGUGUGCUGGCCUACAUGUUGGUCAUCUACACAUACCACCAGAACUGUGCUUUUCUAGUACACCAGGCAUUUCUUACUCUGGUCAAGUUGACAGGCCAAUUAACAGUCAUAUUCUAUAAGCACAGUUAGGAGAAUUGGAGCUCAUCAAAACUUAAAAUCAUAGGGGUCUGGGGAUUUAGCUCAGCGGCUUAAGCGCCUGCCUUGCAAGCAGGCAGUCCUGAGUUUGAUCCCCGGUACCGAUAAAAAGGAAAAAGACAAAAAAACUUAAAAUCAUCAAAAGACAUCAUUAAAAAAAGUGAAUAGGUAAGCCAUGUAGGAAAAUUAUUUCUAAUACCUCAGUUUAGCUACUUAUAUCAAGGAUAUAUAAAGAGUUUCUGCAGAUCUACAGUUUAUUAAACCCAAAAAGAAAUAGAGGUGCAGGUCAGUGGUAGAGCAUAUGCCUACUAUGAGGUAUACAUACAUGACGAUCUAGGUUCAAUCCCCAGCACACACAGCACUCAGCCUGAGUUCAAUACCUGGAGUGGAAAAAACAUCCAGAUGUCUGCUGCUCCCUGCCAUCCCCGUGGAUGUCUGUUUCCUGGGCAAAACUGAGGAAUCAGUACCUAGAAAGCUGCUGGGAGAAUUCCAGUGAGUGCCUCUUGGUUGAGAAGCACUGGUAAAUGUCAUUCUACAUACACAUGUGCGUGCAUAAUUUUCCUAGAAAAAUGGAAUCACUGUGUAUGUUUCACAAGUUAAUUUAUCUAAGCAGCCCACUAAUAGACCUUUGGGUUACUGUUUCAAAUGCUGAAAAGCAGUCACAGUAAGCUAUUAGCAAAUUAGAAAUGAGGAAAAACUUCUGAAAAGUUCUAAGAAUGGCCAGAAAUACUUAAAAACUGUUGGAGGGCUGAAAAUUGUUUUCCGAAGCAUGAAAACAACCAUGAGUACAGGAACAAAAACUUCACGAUUGGAGAAGAGUCACUUCUAAUCCAGUCACUGUUUUAAUCAAAACACUGUAUUGAAAAGAUGACUUUCAGAAAAUUGGCCUUCGGUCCAGUAACCAUGUGCGAUAGCCGGGAAGAGCUUCCUGCCAGCUCACAGUGUCCCUGGAGGAAGCUGAAGAUGCCUCUCCUGAAGAUUCUGCCUGGGAAACAAGCAUCAGACCAUCUACAGCCACAGCCACAAGUGCUCACAUCGCCUGAAGUCCUGCCAUAGGCGGAGAAGCAGGGACUGCGAGUCAUGGCCAUGGGAGAUGCAGAUUUCCUUGGCCAGCCAGGUGCACCCUCCAUCCUUUCCACGUGAAGCUCAGCCAGGCAGAAAACAGGGUGCAGACUCUGCUACAUAGGCCGCCUGUCCAGCUAACUGCACCACAAGCUCCAGCCUCCACAGUGCACCCAGACUGACUGUGUCUUUGCUUCCCAGCUAUGCCUGUUCUUCAUCCUGAUUCCAAAGAACCAUCCUCAGCAUGGCUCUUCCACAAGCCAGAGGGCGUUGAGCCCUGGGCUACACUGAGAAAAUGUAAAUCAAUAGCCUUUCAAAAAAUAAUAAAUAAAUAAAUAACCUUUGUGUGUCUUAGCCCAUGUGGCCUCAUUUGAGCCAUGCAAUGGUGACGGACAUCCAUCUUACAGCAGGAAACAGAGAAGUUGGAGAUUCCAGCGCAAUGCGCAGGCUGGCCUUGAACUCACAGUGUAUCGGAGGAGACUUAUUAACCACACAUGUAGAACAGCAGCUCCAGAGCUGGACAUGGGGUCAAGCCGAGCCCUGCACCAGUACCAGUUUUCUAAUAUAAGGACACACUGAGCCUGGCACCUGGCAUCAAUCUUCCAGCAAGUGGUGGGGUGGGGCUACCUGGACCAACUGUGAAAGAGGACGAAACGAUGGCAGCAAGUGACUGUGGGGCCCCUGCCCUCUUGUUCUUGCAGAGCCCCUUCUGCUUACAGGAUGCAUCUUCUCUUUUUUAAAACACCCUUUUCUCCUUGAGCACUUCUUUUCCUUUUAAUUUCCUUAUUUCUGCCCUAAAAUUGUAAUCUUUCACUCCAUCAAUUUUUCUGAACAAUUAAUGGAUUGGUACAAAUAAGAACCUGGGAGACACUGCUGGCCCUUACCCCAUCUGUAACUCGGCCCCCUAGUGGUCAGCGUGAUCAAGCUGUAAGUACAGUGCAUAAAAGCCUUUAGGAAAAGAAAGUAUUUAUGCACAUAGCAGUUAAUACCCCACCCAGAACGCUGUAAGAAGGGCAAAUAUAAACAUCUAUAGAUUUUCAAAAUUGAUUAAACUAUAGUAAUGAUUCUAUGGCCAAUAUGUUCAAAAUCAACCAAUAAAAUUUACACUGUAUAUUAAAGUCAUCCUGACACUCCUGGAAACCUUUUUUUUUUUUUUUUUUUUAAAGUAGUUCCCUUAAUCUGACCCUCUACAGUCACUUUCAAAUCGUCUCAAGACUAGAAACAAAUUCAAUAAAAAAGCAGACUUCAAAUUUCUACCUGGGGAGAUUUGAAUGCAGAAUGUAAAAUGUAGAAGGCUACUGGAAAAACUGGUUCUUCCCUGUCCCUCCACAGAGUCCCCAGCUCCAGGAAGUACAAUGUAACUCUAUGUGGCACCUGCUAGAAAAGUCUAGAUUCUUCUCCAUCACAGAAAAACGAGCAAAUCUCACAUCUCCCCUGUGCCCAGAGAUCCUCAGGCCAGUAUCCUCACUGCUCAGGCAACCUCGGGCCACACCUAGAGCUCAGGCUCUGAAGCUUUGAGCUCCUCACACUCCUGCCAGGUCACCCCAGGCAUAGGCACAGGUAGCAGAUGGGCUGGUAGUGGAAUGGGGACUCCUGGGCAAGGUUCUUCCCACAGGAACGUGUCUGUUUUAGGAUCUUAAUGUCCUCUAUGUCACUGGCCAGGUAGAGGGGCCAAGAAGUGGAUCUUCUGGUACUGCCCAAAGAGACCAGCCUGGCUGAAGCAAAUAACCAGGACUAGGAGAUCAGAUGCCCUCGAGGUCCCAUCCCAGGCCAGGAAUCUCCACGACAGCACCUCCAGUGCCUGCGGAAGGCUGAGCAGUGCCCACAAAGCUCUGAGGACAGGCCCUGUGCUUCAGCCUACUUGAGCCCACGUAGCUCCUCCACAGCAGCUGGGCCAUUCUUGGAGCCAGCUGCCCUGCUGGCUCUGCAGCUUCUCAGCGGGCCUGGACAAAUAGUCCUUCUUCAUCUUCUGGCCAGGGGCUGAAGGGCUAAGCUGGGUACAACUACAGGCUUGAGUACAGAAACCCAUCUGGCCUUUGAUCAUCUGGACCCAGCUCCCUUUUUCAAAGUCUUCCACUGGAGUCCCCUGCCAAGCCAUUGUUCCAGCAUUAACCACCUGCCCCUAAUUUUCCUUGCCACUGUCCCCUCACCUUUUGCCUACAAGGGGACCUUUGCUUGAGUCACCUCUCCCCCAUCUAUUCUUAGAUCUCAUCUUUUAAAUCCCUGCUUGCACUGCAGGUUUCCAUCCUUUUGCCAUCUUUGUUCCCAUCUCAUCCUUCUUUCUCCCAUCCCUAGGUUUCUGACCUCCUUCCUUAUUCUGCAGCCUUUUCUCAUUACUGGUUACCUUCUCAGACCUCUUUUGUCUCUACCUGCUCCAAGGCAUAUCCCAGGGCAACAGGAUGGAGACUCCCGUCCUAAACUGGGAGGAUGACAAAUGCCCUCCAGUUCUCUAGAUGCCUCCUUCUCUUUCACAAAACAUCCUGAUGUAGUUCAAUCCCGGUACCGAUAAAAAGGAAAGACAAAAAAAAUCCUGAUGUGCCCACACCCUGCUUCUGGAAUCCAGCUGAAUUCAAGCUACCUCUUCUCCAGACAGGACACAAGUCAGCUCUGAGAAGCAGUUACUCACAGGGCUGCCAACCCCCGAUGGAUAGGGUUUGUACCUUCUAGUUACGGAGGUCAGAAGGCCCUGAGGUCAUUCUGACCCUGCAGCCACUUGGCAGAAAACACCCAACUGUUAAACAAUAGGUGUAGUCUGUGGCAUCUUCUGCCACUGACCAAACUCUGGCCAUCAUCCUGAAGUACCCUAGGGCCUUUAGCUCCCUCUCUUUCCUCUUCUCAGGCAGAUGCCACCUGUGCCCACUGUCCGCUCCAAACAUGCAGUCCUCGAGCCUCCUCAGUUUCCCCUCCUCUAAGCUUUCUUUUCCUUCUCACAGCUUAGAGGUGGGAGCAAAAUGGCCAGGAUAUUUAAGGAUAUUUAGGGAGAUCAGACAUGCUAGGAUUGGGGCUGGGGAUUUAGCUCAAUGGCAUAAGCGCCUGCCUUACAAGCAGGUAGUCGUGAGUUCAAUCCCUGGUACCGAUAAAAAUGAAAAAAAAAGACAAAAAAAAAAAAAAAAAAGAAAUGCUAGGAUUAGCGGGGAAUUUAGCUCAGUGGCAUAACUGCCUGCCUAGAAAGCACGUGGUUGUAAGUUCAAUCCCUAGUACCACAAAAAGAAAAAAAAAAGCUAGGAUCUCAUUAGCAAGACCUAAGUAUAAACAAAAGACUUGGCUGAAACAUUUCAAUCAACACUCUGUUUGGCAAAGCAAUUCGGCCCAAUGUCUGAUGGUCUUCUUUGCAUUCAGGUACCUGAAACACACAUUCUUCCCCCAUAGAAGUUUUGAGACCAAGACACUUCUUGAGGAUCUCAGCUCCAGACAUUUGGAGAAUAGUCACAUACUUCCUAGAACAGAACACUCAAGGAAAACACACACUUGGAGCAGCGGUGAGCUGGAGUUGGGUUGUACAGGCUCUAGGAGCCAACACUAAAACCCCAAGAAUCCUGCAAUGCAGUUAAACACAGGCACCAUAAAAAAUUAACUUAUGGAAACUCAAGACCAGUACUCAAAACUCACCAUUUCCUAAUUACCUGCACAAAGUUUAAGUGUGACCCAUGGUCUCAACUUGUGCCCAUUUUUCCAUGCAGGGAAAUACUGCAUAUGGUGUCACUGUCUUUUCCCAAUUUGACUGCCGAUCGGCCACACAGGCAUUUCUACACUGUAGAAAUAGAGAAAUGCUGAAGACUGAGUUGCUAUUGUCCUCUCCCAGACAAUCAGCUAUAAAGCAGUGAACCAUGUACCACUGGCUCUGGGAAAUGACAAAAAUGAAGGUAAGCCAGGUGCAAUGGCAUACAUUUCAAUCCCAGCAUUUUAUGGAGACAGGUGGGGCCAGCCUGGGGAACUCAUUGUGAUCUAUUUUUUAAAAACUUUGCCAGGCCUGGUGGCACAAGCCUAUAAUCCCAGCACUCAGGGCUGAGGCAGGAGGAUCACUGCAAACUGAAAGCCUGGGCUAACAAGACCUUGUCUCAACCAAGAAGAAAAAAAAAUGAUCAAGAUUGGAAGAUAAAUAUGAAACUUUGAGAAAGAGCUGUACAGUUGGUAAAAGAUGAGGCCCGUGGGCAUAGCAGCACACACCUGUAAUCCUAACUUGGGAGGCUGAGGCAGGUGGAUCGCCAGUUUAACACCAGCCCAGGCUACAUAGUGAGCUCAAGGCCAGUCUGAAGUACAUAGCAAAACCCUGCCUCUAAAAUCAAAAUGAAAUUACAGAAAUUACAGAAUCUGCAAAUCAGUUCCAGAAAAACACAGAAAACAGUAGGGAAUUUACUAAAAGAUAACUCAGGAAAAUUUCUCAGGACUACAAAGACAAUAUUGAGGUUGAAAUACCUCGCCAAGCACCAGGAAGAAUACAAAGUAAAGAAUUAGUUGGGUGAAAUCUAAGGCAGGAGGACAGCAAAUUUGAGGCUAUCCUGGACUACACUGUGAGACACCAUCCUAAACAUGUCAAACACCAGAACACAUAAUGUUUUGCAAAUUUCAAAACAUCAAACAAGAUGGUCCUUAAAAAAAAUCAAAUUUAAAAAGGCAACCAGAUCACAAAGGAGUUGUUUCCAAAUGGCAUCAGACUUCUCAACAGCACAUUUUCGUUUUUAAAGCUAUAGUUGGGCAGUGAUACAUUUUUUUUGUCCUUUGAGACAGGGUCUCCCUAUGCAGUUCAGGCUGGUCUUGAGCUCACUUUGUAGCCUAGGCCAGUCUUCAACUUGUAGCGAUCCUUCUGCCUCAGCCUCCAGAGUGCUAGGCUUACCGGCAUGUAACACCACACCUGGCAGUGAUACAUGCCUUUAAUCCCAACUAUUUGGGAGGUUGAGGCAGGACAGUAGAUUUUUUGUAUUUUGGAGUUUUUUUGUAAUUGUUACUGGUACAUAUUUGCAGCACAUGAUUACACUGCUCAUGGGGAGUUGGUAUAUACAUUUAAUACAUUUUAAUUCUUUAUGUCCUUGCCCCCUUUCUCCUUCAGGAUAGCAAAUUUGAGGCCAGCCUGGGUGAAUUACAGCCUGUCUCAAAGGAGGGGGUGUUGGAAAUGUAGCUCCGCACUGCUUCAGUUCAAUUCCCCAAACAGCAAAAAUAAGUUAUCUUAAAGCUAGACACAAUAAGCAGCACUGAAUUUUUUAGGGGACAUUAUUUGCAUCCCCUUGGUAAAUUUUUUCACUCAACAAUGAAUUGGAAAAGGGUAAUUUUCCAAGAUCUCAAGUUUUCUUUCAUCCUUUAAAUUCAUUCAUCUAACAUUUACUGAGCACUUGGGGCAUUCUCAAAAUAAGAAGGACAUAGUAGGGAACAAACCAGGUCCCUGUCAUAAUGAGGUCUGCUUCAGUCUGAAAAGAGGGAGGCAAUGAAUAAAAAGAUGUAACAUGUCUUGCAGUAAAAGUGCUCCAAAGUCACACAGCAGGCCCAGGGCCUUCAGGCUGGUGGAAGGAGCUGUCUCAGCAAUGGCUGGGGAUAGUUUCUGCUGAGGUCACAUUUGAACAAUGACCUAUAGAAGGCACAGGCCAUGUGGUACCAGAAGCACAAGCCGUCUAGGAAGAGCCUUAAACAAGAAUGAGGGCCAUGCAAACAGCAUUUGUGUUAAGUGACUAGGGAGGCUGACAGAAGAAACACAGAGCUGGAGAGAUCUGGUCCCAGGAGCCCUCUCUCCCUUUUUUUUUUUUUUCCCUUUGAGACAGGGUCUAUGAAUUUUAGGCUGGCCUGCAACUCACUAUAUUGCCCAGGCUACCUUCAAACUGGUGGUGAUACUCCUACCUCAGCCUCCCAAUGCUAGGUUUAUACAUGUAUACCACCACGCCCAGCACAGGAACCCUUGCUACUGGACUUUUCCCAUGUGUCCCUAUACUCUGUUCAGUCCCCACUUGCUGUUUCCUGGGAAACUGAGGAUUGGACCACACCAAGCUCCUUGACUUUUGUCAUCCUGAGAUUUGGCCAAUGGGAGACAAUGGCAAGAGGAACCUCUACUGGGACUACAGCCUCGGUAAAGACAACCCCGCCAGGUUCAGUCACACGUGUUCUCAGGCACUUCCUAGAGUGGGAGGGCUUCGUGCCUCCCCUAGCUGGCGGUUACCCGAACCAGUGUGCCUCAUUAGUCCUCAGUGAAUUCCCGAUGUCCUGAGUGCACUUGCACUCGGUCUCCAUCAGAAACCUGAUACUCCUCCUUAUGGCAAAAACCAAGGGUUUCUGAUUCUAUGUGCAGAGCCGGGGUGGGAAGGCACUGGAGGUUCCUCAGAACACGGGACAUAGAUCACGCUGGGUGGUGGGGUUUAAGCAGGUUGAGCACAAAGUUGGGAGGAAAUCGGCUUUCACAGUAGUAAGGGAAAGAGGUGAUCCAGACUCAGGCGGCUGUACCAAGGUUUAAGUUUUCAGCUUACGAUGGAUGACAGUGGAGCAAAGAGGACUUCCUGACCCAACUGGAAAUGAGGUGAAAGUUCUGCCUAAUGCUCAGCUGUCACUGCCUAAGUGAGAUAGGUAGGUUUAGGCUGCAAAAAUCAAAAGUGGUGUUGGGAAAUUCGGGUGUUUAUCUGAGACCCAACUGGAGAUGUGGGAUAGGCAGAUUAAGUGGAAGGGACACAGCUCAGGGAGCGCCACAUGUACUACACAGGCUACAUAAAACCACCUACACAAGGCCCAAGGACUGCCUGAACCCUUCCUCAGGUCGUAGGAAGGUGCACAGGAAGACGGAAAUCAAAAAAGGGAAGACAUGAACAAGGGAACCUAAUGUCAGAGGCAGAAGGAAUCCCUGAACUGAUGUGAAACAUUUUAGAACCUCGGGGCUGGGGAUUUAGCUCAGCGGCAUAAGCGCCUGCCUUGCAAGCAGGCAGUCCUGAGUUUGAUCCCUGGUACCGAUUAAAAAAAAAAAAUUCUAGAACCUCAGGUCUGAAAGAGUAAGCUGUCUAAAUGAGAACUAGAAAGACAAAAAAGCAAAGUACAACUGUUCACUUUUGAAAAUACCAAAACAAAACUAUGGUUCUAAGUUUGAAGAUGAUUUAGAAAACACUAAACAACAGAAGACAUAAUUACUAACUUUAUGUAAAUGUUUGCAGAAACUAGAGGAUAUACCAACAGUGUAUAUAAGUCACAUGAAUGUCAACAAAGAAUUCAGAUUUAACCAUGAAACAUGACAGAAUUAUGAGGAUGCCAGGGAAAGGAGCAAAACCAAAAUGUCACAGUUGAGAGGAAGUGGACAUCUUAAUCUUAGUACUCAGAAGGCAGAGGCAGGAGGAUUUCAUAUUGAGUCCUACCUGGGAAACUAAACAAGACUUUGUCUCAUAAAAAAAGUCAUAGUUCAAAGUGAGUUCCAGCAUGAAGGCCUAAGUCCAGCUCUCCAGUGAUUUCCAACAGUUUUGCCUGUGGCUCAGAGUAAAGCUGAAGGAAAAAGCUUUGUAUCAUUUCCCUUGGCAUGAAGGCACACAUUUGUAAUCACAGCUGCUUACGAGCUGAGGCAAGGGGAUCUAGUCCAGGCUGGGCAAUAGUACUUGACUCUAUAGUCUUGAAACAUAAAAAGGGCUUUGAAUGAAGCUUAGUGACAGAGCACCCCCGGGUUCAAUCCAUGGUAAUGGGAAAAAAGUAUUAUUUUAAGCCUCAUAAGCAAGACCCAAGAUCUCUCCACGUCAAAGAUUCUUCCACUGAUACUUAUUUCUGAUGCUACACUGUGGUGAACAUGUUAUUUAACAUUAAAUAUAUCAAACACACAUACUUAAAAGAUCAACAUACAAAUCACUGGUAGAUACUAUUUUUUUUUCUUUAGGAGAAAUAAACACAAAACACACCUUUAGUUAAAUCAUGAUUUUAUUGCUUGAGUACAUAAACACAUUUAUGCCACCAGGGCAGAGGCUGUGGAUGACUCACUGAAAAAAAAAAAAAGAGAGAAAAUUGGGAUUAAUACUGGACCUGGGUACCCAUGUAAAGACUCUAAAAUGAACCAAAUUGAGUUCCAGAAUCAGCUCACAAUGCUCAACUAUAAUGGAUCACAGUGCUCACUCAGACAUCCAAGGAAGAACAACCAACAUGAGGAAAACCUUUCUGGUGGAAACUGCGAAUGUUUGGAUAUCAAUCAUCACAGUGAGCAAGUCAUGCAACAAAUAAAACUACAGUAAUAUCUGGGACCAACGUGGGAAAUGAAAUGUUAGCCCUGUCUACACAGAUGUGAAAAUGCUUGUUCAUGGUCCAAACUGGAGGCCUGCAAAGUUUUAAGUGAAUACAGCCAUGUGCAUUUAAUUAUGUACUUACUGCCUGUUACCAGAGCAUGGGCACAGAUAAGCUACAAGACUAGUUACUGAUACGGUCCAUAAAGGCCAAAACAUUUACUAUUACUUACUAAUAUUUACUGUCUGACUGACUCAAGAUCUAGCAUCAGAAAAAGUAGAUACUUACUAUUUCCAGUUUGGGGGGAGGACCCGUUUGGUUUUAUAAUAUCGAGCCAAUCUGUGAAUCCGGCUCUCGAUGAGAAUCAGGCGGAAUUUGGCAUCCUUAUCCUAAAAAUAAAAUUGAUACAAGUAAAAAAAAAAAAAAAAAAAAA
Molecule: long non-coding RNA, 21395 nt
Organism: Cavia porcellus (domestic guinea pig)
Lineage: Eukaryota; Metazoa; Chordata; Mammalia; Rodentia; Caviidae
Exons: 5
Source: RefSeq, a predicted model, not a curated record